This 963-nucleotide long non-coding RNA is filed under the name Anser brachyrhynchus (Pink-footed goose). RNAcentral's name for it is "lncRNA (ENSABRG00000022731.1)". Lineage: Eukaryota; Metazoa; Chordata; Aves; Anseriformes; Anatidae. The record is from RNAcentral.
UGGGAUGUAAUUAGUGAGUCACCAGGUGAAGGUGUUACAGAAGGGAGAGCAAAAACCUAUAAAAACAGGACUCACAGGCUGCCUGGGUUUGGGAGGAGGUGAGAAGAUGCGCCCUAGGAAGCUGCAUGGCCUGAUUUGAGGUCUUGCGAAGGACAGCAAGGCCUGCACCACGGACCCAGGCAGAUUUCCCUCGCGGGGUGAGCGGAUCCAGUUUCAUUGCUAAUGGGUUUCCCAGGAUUUGCAGAUGUGAAUUGCUCGCAUUCCUGACUCCAAGGUUCAACCUGCCUUUCUGUCCAAAGCAAGCUGGUCUCCCACCUUGGGUCCUUGCUUUAAAAAGGUAUGGUGGAAGGAGGACCUGCGUGUCUAUGCUGAAAUGAAAAUCUUUGAGAAGUUGUUCAGUCUUGAGACAGUGGAUUUGUGUAGAAGAUGAGUUGUGGUAAAAUAGCUGCAAAUUAAGCACACAUCCAACAAGUCUGGAGGACAGUGAGUCUGAGGAACCAAGCAGAUGGGCUCAAGAAAGCUCUGAGUGUUCAAGUGGCACCAGGGAUGUGCCCACACAAACAUCUCAGUAGGUUCUUCCUGAGCUAAUGCAAUCCCAGAGGCAUGUCCUAGAUUCGUGUGAGUGGGGCAUGAGUCAAAACCCUGAAGGGUAUUUGAGCAGCUGAGCUCCCAUAAGAUCUGAGCACCCUUUUGACCUCUACUGAAAAGAUCAGAGCCAAGUUUUCCCUUGCGUUCAGAGACUUGUAAAGGCUGAAUGCCCUAAAAUCAAUGUUACUAGUGGGAACAUGGAAAUUAAUUGUGUCAAUCUAUCACUCAUCUUCCCCUAUUACAUUCAGUGAUUGGAACUUGGCCUCCAGUGCAUGAACAAAGUGUCUUCUGUGACAAGUAACUGCUGCGCAGGAGGUGGCUGCAUGGCUGAGUGGUGGAGAGGGCAGGACAAAAUAAAAGUUUGGGUUCAACAUC